RNAcentral lists this ribosomal RNA (700 nucleotides) under Clostridioides difficile. Its description in RNAcentral is "bacterial SSU rRNA". It matches the Rfam family "Bacterial small subunit ribosomal RNA", at positions 1 to 727 of the family's 1533-position model. The record is from RNAcentral. Lineage: Bacteria; Bacillati; Bacillota; Clostridia; Peptostreptococcales; Peptostreptococcaceae.
UUUUAUUUGAGAGUUUGAUCCUGGCUCAGGAUGAACGCUGGCGGCGUGCCUAACACAUGCAAGUUGAGCGAUUUACUUCGGUAAAGAGCGGCGGACGGGUGAGUAACGCGUGGGUAACCUACCCUGUACACACGGAUAACAUACCGAAAGGUAUGCUAAUACGGGAUAAUAUAUUUGAGAGGCAUCUCUUGAAUAUCAAAGGUGAGCCAGUACAGGAUGGACCCGCGUCUGAUUAGCUAGUUGGUAAGGUAACGGCUUACCAAGGCGACGAUCAGUAGCCGACCUGAGAGGGUGAUCGGCCACAUUGGAACUGAGACACGGUCCAAACUCCUACGGGAGGCAGCAGUGGGGAAUAUUGCACAAUGGGCGAAAGCCUGAUGCAGCAACGCCGCGUGAGUGAUGAAGGCCUUCGGGUCGUAAAACUCUGUCCUCAAGGAAGAUAAUGACGGUACUUGAGGAGGAAGCCCCGGCUAACUACGUGCCAGCAGCCGCGGUAAUACGUAGGGGGCUAGCGUUAUCCGGAUUUACUGGGCGUAAAGGGUGCGUAGGCGGUCUUUCAAGUCAGGAGUGAAAGGCUACGGCUCAACCGUAGUAAGCUCUUGAAACUGGGAGACUUGAGUGCAGGAGAGGAGAGUGGAAUUCCUAGUGUAGCGGUGAAAUGCGUAGAUAUUAGGAGGAACACCAGUUGCGAAGGCGGCUC